UGGGGAAUAUUGCACAAUGGGGGGAACCCUGAUGCAGCGACGCCGCGUGGGUGAAGAAGUAUUUCGGUAUGUAAAGCCCUAUCAGCAGGGAAGAAGAGAUGACGGUACCUGAGUAAGAAGCACCGGCUAAAUACGUGCCAGCAGCCGCGGUAAUACGUAUGGUGCAAGCGUUAUCCGGAUUUACUGGGUGUAAAGGGAGCGCAGGCGGCGCGCUAAGUCUGAUGUGAAAGCCCGGGGCUCAACCGCGGGACUGCAUUGGAAACUGGCGGGCUGGAGUGCCGGAGAGGUAAGCGGAAUUCCUGGUGUAGCGGUGAAAUGCGUAGAUAUCAGGAGGAACACCAGUGGCGAAGGCGGCUUACUGGACGGUAACUGACGCUGAGGCUCGAAAGCGUGGGGAGCAAACAGG
This 406-nucleotide ribosomal RNA is filed under the name uncultured bacterium. RNAcentral describes it as "bacterial SSU rRNA". It matches the Rfam family "Bacterial small subunit ribosomal RNA", at positions 355 to 776 of the family's 1533-position model. The record is from RNAcentral.